RNAcentral lists this ribosomal RNA (230 nucleotides) under uncultured bacterium. RNAcentral describes it as "partial 16S ribosomal RNA". It matches the Rfam family "Archaeal small subunit ribosomal RNA", at positions 518 to 747 of the family's 1478-position model. The record is from RNAcentral.
UCCGUAGCUGGACCGAUAAGUCUCUUGGGAAAUCCGCCGGCUUAACCGGCGGGCGUCCAGGAGAUACUGUUGGUCUAGGGACCGGGAGAGGUGAGAGGUACUCCGGGGGUAGGAGUGAAAUCCUGUAAUCCCUGGGGGACCACCGAUGGCGAAGGCAUCUCACCAGAACGGCUCCGACAGUGAGGGACGAAAGCUGGGGGAGCGAACAGGAUUAGAUACCCUGGUAGUCC